RNAcentral lists this ribosomal RNA (428 nucleotides) under uncultured bacterium. RNAcentral's name for it is "partial 16S ribosomal RNA". It matches the Rfam family "Bacterial small subunit ribosomal RNA", at positions 354 to 796 of the family's 1533-position model. The record is from RNAcentral.
GUGAGGAAUUUUCCGCAAUGGGCGAAACCCUGACGCAGCGACGCCGCGUGAGUGAUGAAGGCCUUCGGGUCGUAAAGCUCUGUUGCAGGGGAAUAAAAAAAUGAAGGUACCCUGUGAGGAAGGAUCGGCUAACUUCGUGCCAGCAGCCGCGGUAAGACGAGGGAUCCUAGCGUUGCUCGGAAUCAUUGGGCGUAAAGAGGGCGUAGGUGGCUUGGUAAGUCAGGUGUGAAAGCCCAGGGCUCAACCCUGGAAGUGCAUUUGAUACUGCUGAGCUUGAGUGUCGGAGAGGUUACCGGAAUACCUGGUGUAGUGGUGAAAUGCGUAGAUAUCAGGUGGAACACCGGAGGCGAAGGCGGGUAACUGGACGAACACUGACACUGAGGCCCGAAAGCGUGGGGAUCAAACAGGAUUAGAUACCCCAGUAGUCC